Molecule: ribosomal RNA, 518 nt
Filed under: Fusarium oxysporum
Lineage: Eukaryota; Fungi; Ascomycota; Sordariomycetes; Hypocreales; Nectriaceae
Description: eukaryotic LSU rRNA
Rfam family: 5.8S ribosomal RNA (bases 150-303)
Source: RNAcentral
GGACGUAGGCGUUCGCUCCCAACCCCUGUGACAUACCACUUGUUGCCUCGGCGGAUCAGCCCGCUCCCGGUAAAACGGGACGGCCCGCCAGAGGACCCCUAAACUCUGUUUCUAUAUGUAACUUCUGAGUAAAACCAUAAAUAAAUCAAAACUUUCAACAACGGAUCUCUUGGUUCUGGCAUCGAUGAAGAACGCAGCAAAAUGCGAUAAGUAAUGUGAAUUGCAGAAUUCAGUGAAUCAUCGAAUCUUUGAACGCACAUUGCGCCCGCCAGUAUUCUGGCGGGCAUGCCUGUUCGAGCGUCAUUUCAACCCUCAAGCACAGCUUGGUGUUGGGACUCGCGUUAAUUCGCGUUCCUCAAAUUGAUUGGCGGUCACGUCGAGCUUCCAUAGCGUAGUAGUAAAACCCUCGUUACUGGUAAUCGUCGCGGCCACGCCGUUAAACCCCAACUUCUGAAUGUUGACCUCGGAUCAGGUAGGAAUACCCGCUGAACUAAAGCAUAUCAAUAAGGGGGGAGGAA